CACACGGUCCGGUCCCGGACUUCGCUUAGUGUUGGAGAGCUCCUGGGACUCUAGUAGACUUUGGACUGACCUUCGGCUGAACUUGACCGUGGCGAGAUCUACACUUAUGAGGAUACCCCUGGUGAGAGCAGCUCUACCCUUCAAUAGCUUUCUCCUAAUCUUGAACCACUAACAAUUGAAAUCUAAAGCCAGUGACUGAGAACGCUGAGGACGGAAGGAUCUCAAAUUGGAGGUCAACCUCAGCAAUGUAGCAAGAACCCGACUCAAAAUAUAAAGGACUGAGGAUGUAACUCAAUGGUAGAGCAUCCCUGGGCUCGAUCCCCAAUACAUAAAAAGAAAGAAAAAUGAAAUCAUACUAAAUAUGUUCUCUGAUCGUAAUGGAAAUAAGCAAUCAACAUGAUGACAGGACAGCCUUUAAACAUUUGGAAAUUAAGCACUACAUAUCUAAAUAAUCCAUGAAUUAAAGAAGAAAACGCAAAGGAGAAAAUAUUUUAAUUGAAAAAGAGUUAAAGUACGCGUCCUGUGGGCGGAACAGUAGUAGAGCUGCUUGCUUAGCAUGUGCCAAAAUAAAGAAUACAGUAUCAAAAUGUGUACUAAUGUUGUAAAGUGAAAUUUAUGGCACUAACUGCUUCUGUUUAAAAAAAGGGGGGGGGGAGGUCUAAAAUCAGCAAUCUAAGUUUCCGUUUUAAAACACUAGAAAAAGAAGCAAAAAAUUGACCCUUACAUCCAAAGCAAACAGGAGGAAAUAACAGAGGAACAAAAAAUGAAAGAAAUUGAAAACAAAAACUACAGGAAAAUAAUACUAAGAGCUGAACCUUAGUAUUAUUAGCUGAAAAGACCAAAAAAGUCCAUGAAUCUAUAACAAAGCUGAAAAACACGGAAAACACACACACAAAUUACUUCUAUAAGAAUGCAAAAAAAGAUAUCACUAAAGACCCCACCAACUUUAAAAAUAUCGUGAGGCAAUACGAGGAACAAUUAAUUCUAUGUACAUAAAUUUGACAAUUUAUAUGAAAUGGACUAAUUACUUAAAAGCACAUCCUACCAAAAUUCACUCAAAAAGAAAUACAUAAGCUGAAUUAGCAUAUGUUGAAUUUCCCAUUAAAAACCUUCCAAACAAGGAUAGGGGUGUAAUUCAGUGAUAGAGCACUUGCCUAGCAUGUACAAGGUCCUAGGUUUGAUAUUCCCUACCACAAAAGAGGGAAAAAAAAAAAAAAACUACAAAAAAAAAGAAAUAUCCAGGCUCAGAUUGUUUCGUUGGUCAAUUCUGGCUCUACCAAAUAUUUAAUAAAGAAACAAUAAUUCUACAAAAACUCUUUCAGAAAAUUGAAGAGAACUAAACAUUUUCAUUCUAUAAACUUAAUAUUACCCCAGUAGCAAAACCAGAAAAAGACAUUACAACAAUAUUUUAUACCCUUCUUAUCCUCAUGAACUUAGGUGCGAACUUGCUAGCCAACUUUGAGCAAAUGGAUUCUAAUAACCUACAAAAAGGAUAAGUUAUCACAACUGGGGUUUAUCCCAAGAAUUUCAAAGUGGGUUUACCAUUCAAAAUUAAGCAUAACUCACCAUCUCAAUAGAUGCAAAAAUGCUUUUAACAAAUGCUAAUAUCUAUUCAUUAUAAAGCUCUCAGCAAUUGAGGGAAAAAUAGGAAGAAAAGGAAACUCCUCAGCCUGAUAAUGCACACCUAUGAAAACCUCAAUCCAAGCCAAACAGUAUUGAUAAAGAAGAACAAAGUCAGAGGAGUCAUAUUUCCUGAUAUUAAAGCCUACCACACAAUGACAGGAAACAAAAUAGUGUAGCACAUUUAUAGGAUAGUUUUUAUAGCCAGUAGAAUAGGAUAGAGAACACGGACCAUAACCGGAAUCAACCGGUCAGUUGAUUUUUUACAAGGGUGCCAAGAUCAUUCAAUGAGGAAAAAACAAGUCUUUUCAACAGACAGUGCUGGGUGAACUGAAUAUCCACAUGCAAAAGAAUGAAGCUGGACUCCUACCACUGGACUCCAAAAUUGGUCAAAGAUAUAAACAGAAGAGCCGAAAGUAUAAAACUUAGAAGGAAACAUGGAAAGAAAGCUUCAUGAUAUUGGAUUUGGCAAUUUUGGCAAUGAGUCUUUUAAUAUGACACCAAAAGCACAAGCAAAAAAGAAAAAAUUGAAUAAAAUUUUGUAUAUCCCUAAAGCAAUUUGG
This 2183-nucleotide long non-coding RNA is filed under the name Marmota monax (woodchuck). The record is from RNAcentral. Lineage: Eukaryota; Metazoa; Chordata; Mammalia; Rodentia; Sciuridae.